AGAGUUUGAUCCUGGCUCAGGACGAACGCUGGCGGCGUGCCUAAUACAUGCAAGUCGAGCGGGUCUUCAUUAGCUUGCUUUUGAAGAUCAGCGGCGGACGGGUGAGUAACACGUGGGCAACCUGCCUGUAAGACUGGGAUAACUUCGGGAAACCGGAGCUAAUACCGGAUAAUCCUUUCCCUCACAUGAGGGAAAGCUGAAAGACGGUUUCGGCUGUCACUUACAGAUGGGCCCGCGGCGCAUUAGCUAGUUGGUGAGGUAACGGCUCACCAAGGCAACGAUGCGUAGCCGACCUGAGAGGGUGAUCGGCCACACUGGGACUGAGACACGGCCCAGACUCCUACGGGAGGCAGCAGUAGGGAAUCUUCCGCAAUGGACGAAAGUCUGACGGAGCAACGCCGCGUGAGCGAUGAAGGCCUUCGGGUCGUAAAGCUCUGUUGUCAGGGAAGAACAAGUACCGGAGUAACUGCCGGUACCUUGACGGUACCUGACCAGAAAGCCACGGCUAACUACGUGCCAGCAGCCGCGGUAAUACGUAGGUGGCAAGCGUUGUCCGGAAUUAUUGGGCGUAAAGCGCGCGCAGGCGGUUCCUUAAGUCUGAUGUGAAAGCCCCCGGCUCAACCGGGGAGGGUCAUUGGAAACUGGGGAACUUGAGUGCAGAAGAGGAGAGCGGAAUUCCACGUGUAGCGGUGAAAUGCGUAGAGAUGUGGAGGAACACCAGUGGCGAAGGCGGCUCUCUGGUCUGUAACUGACGCUGAGGCGCGAAAGCGUGGGGAGCGAACAGGAUUAGAUACCCUGGUAGUCCACGCCGUAAACGAUGAGUGCUAAGUGUUAGAGGGUUUCCGCCCUUUAGUGCUGCAGCAAACGCAUUAAGCACUCCGCCUGGGGAGUACGGCCGCAAGGCUGAAACUCAAAGGAAUUGACGG
Molecule: ribosomal RNA, 926 nt
Filed under: Mesobacillus jeotgali
Lineage: Bacteria; Bacillati; Bacillota; Bacilli; Caryophanales; Bacillaceae
Description: bacterial SSU rRNA
Rfam family: Bacterial small subunit ribosomal RNA
Source: RNAcentral